CUCAGAACUUAAAGGAAUUGACGGGGCCCGCACAAGCGGUGGAGCAUGUGGUUAAUUCGAAGCAACGCGAAGAACCUUACCUGGUCUUGACAUCCCGGAGACCCUUAGGAAACUAGGGGGUGCUUCCAUCUGGAAGAAUCUGGAGACAGGUGCUGCAUGGCUGUCGUCAGCUCGUGUCGUGAGAUGUUGGGUUAAGUCCCGCAACGAGCGCAACCCUUGCCUUUAGUUGCCAGCAGUUCGGCUGGGCACUCUAAAGGGACUGCCGGUGUUAAACCGGAGGAAGGUGGGGAUGACGUCAAGUCCUCAUGGCCUUUAUGACCAGGGCUACACACGUACUACAAUGGCCGAUACAAAGGGCAGCGACACUGCGAGGUGAAGCCAAUCCCGUAAAAUCGGUCUCAGUCCGGAUUGGAGUCUGCAACUCGACUCCACGAAGUUGGAAUCGCUAGUAAUCGUGGAUCAGCAUGCCACGGUGAAUACGUUCCCGGGCCUU
RNAcentral lists this ribosomal RNA (493 nucleotides) under uncultured Desulfobulbus sp. Its description in RNAcentral is "bacterial SSU rRNA". It matches the Rfam family "Bacterial small subunit ribosomal RNA", at positions 893 to 1382 of the family's 1533-position model. Lineage: Bacteria; Pseudomonadati; Thermodesulfobacteriota; Desulfobulbia; Desulfobulbales; Desulfobulbaceae. The record is from RNAcentral.